Sceloporus undulatus (fence lizard) is the source of this 544-nucleotide long non-coding RNA. RefSeq lists it as uncharacterized. The transcript is spliced from 2 exons. Lineage: Eukaryota; Metazoa; Chordata; Lepidosauria; Squamata; Phrynosomatidae. The record is from RefSeq and is a predicted model, not a curated record.
AGCCCAGGCCCCGCCCCCAGAGGAGGAGGCUGCCACUCAGAGCAGGCGCCUGUUACGCUUUGCCAGGCUCCCCUGGUGACUCUGCGAAGGCUGUUAAACUAGGUCCCUUAAAGAUUAAGCACUUUGGAUAAACACCUGAAGCUUUAAACAUAAAGAAGACAUCAGAAACUUGUGAAAACCAGUGUCUGAAAUGCUUCCUGUAAUGCGGUGCUUUGAAAGGAGAAGAGGAGGAGGAAACCCCGGAUUCCUUGAGGUGGUCGAGUUGAUCCCUGGCCACUUUGCGCAAGUUCAAGAAGUCAGGAGGGCAGCUGUCUGGAGAUGACUUGUGGGAUGUUUAAGCAGAAAUAGCCCUGCUGGCUGCCCAGCGGACCUGGACUGUAAAAACAGGCCACUGGACUCAGAUUUCAGUGGUGCGCUUAUUUUGAUGGAAGUGGUUUGAUUGAAGGCAGCAAGUGGCCGCAUGGAGUCUGUGGCCACGUGUGGCCCACCUUAGCUCUUGUGUGCAUGAAAUGAGAAAAUAAAGAAAGGGCUUCGUAAGAUAGAA